UGAGACUGGAAGUGAUUCUAGGCUUGCAUAAUGAAUUCCAUCUCAAAAAAAUGAUGUGCUAUUCCCAUUUGUUUUGUGGAGCAGAUAAAUCACACCUUAAUAACCUCCAGUUAAGAGACUUUUUGGCGGCUAAAUGCAUUAUUUGUCAAUUUCUCUGCUCCGUGCUUCAUGUUUCCCUUUGUUGGUGGGGAGAGGGGUUUAAAGAGGACCAGAUCUGUCAGAUUUUCCAUAUCAAAUUCCUUGAUUAUUGAAUUUCCGAAUUUUAUGGAGGUUUCUUUUUUGGCAGCUCCUAGCUAUUAAGCAAUUGGAUAGGAAUGGGCUUCAGGUAACAGAGAAUUUUUGGUAGUCUAUAUAUACUAACUGCUGAAUAUCAGCUUUACAUCAACUCUAUAUAUCUGUGGCAAAUCCAAGUAAUUUAUUCUUCCUGCUUCUGCUCUCAAUUGCGAGCAUGAACAUGCAUCAGUCGAUUAUGUUUGCAUUUUUUCUGUUGCUCUUGUUUUGUUUUUCAAAUAAAUUGCCAUUCCCUUUUUUCUGAUCAUCAUUCCAUUCAUUUUUGUUGUAAUCUCAUAAUGUAUUUGUAAUACACAAUUAACUCUUUAUACAUGCAUAUGUAUAUAUCUCUAUAUGUAAUAUCUAUAUUGAUUUUCCAGCUCAAUCAAUGCCUAGUAAUUGCACUGAGUUUCAGUUUAGCAAUUUUUCCUCCAGUUAUGGAAAUGGAAUUGAGAGCUUGCAUUUGGGUUUGACAAUCAACCAAACAACACUUAAGUUGUGAGAAAAAUAGGUAAUAUCUUUCAUUUUAGCAUUUGAAUGCAUAAAUAAAUGUAGGAUUUUUUUAUAUAUGAGAUAAAGUCAAUGAUUAAGUACAUUUG
RNAcentral lists this long non-coding RNA (869 nucleotides) under Olea europaea (common olive). Its description in RNAcentral is "long non-coding RNA (OEUR_LNC009018)". The record is from RNAcentral. Lineage: Eukaryota; Viridiplantae; Streptophyta; Magnoliopsida; Lamiales; Oleaceae.